GUCGCGAGGCGCUCCCCCCGCGCCGCUUCCCGGCAGGCCGCGCGCGGGAGCGCCGGGCGCCGCCGCUGCCCUCGGCCUGCGUCCCGGCCGCCGGGCCCUUCUCCCGCCGCUCCGCCAUGCGCCACAGCCUCACGCAGCUGCUGGCGGCCUCGGCCGGCGGGGCCAGCCCCUCGGGCGCCGUCUGGCCGCUGGCCGGAGCGGGGCAGGCCCCGAGAGGGCGGGAUGGCGGCGGGGAAGGGGACCCGGGCCCCGCGCGGCCCAAACCGCAGCCGCCGCCGCGGCGGGAGCCCCCGGGCGCCUCGGAGCCGCGGCGGCAGGAGAAGGAGGCCGAGGCGCCCGGCGGCCCGCUGGAGGUGUGGGAGCAAGAGGACUGGUUCCCGGGGCUGGAGCUGGGAGACCUGCUGGAGGCGGCCCGGCCGGACUGGGACCUGGACGCGGAGCUGAGCGACUGCUUCUGUGGGGAGCCGGAGCCGCUGCCCGCGCCGGGCAAGGGCCCGCGGCCGGCGGCGCCCGGGCGGAGGAGCGGCGGGGCCGGGAGUCGGCUGAAGGCGGCGGCGGCGGCGCGGUUGAACCGGCUGAAGAAGAAGCAGUACGUGCUGGGGCUGGAGAGCCGCCUGCAGGGCCUGGCUGCCGAGAACCGGCAGCUGCGGGACCGCAACCGCGGCCUGAGCCGCCGCCUGCGAGAGCUGGAGCGGGAGAGCAGCUACCUGCGGGCUGUGCUGGCCAACCAGAGCGCGCUGGGGCAGCUCUUGAGCCGCCUGGCCGGGACCCGCGCCGGCGGGCUGCAGCUCAGCACCAGCCUCUUCAGGGACACGGGCAGCCGCCAGCAGCAGCAGCAGCUCCAGCCCGCCGGCGAGAGCAGCGACCACGACUACGCCCUGCCCAGCUCCCGGCCCCGCGGGCUGGAGGAGGCGGCGGCGGUGACUGAGACCGAGGAGGAGUGGGCGGCCCCCGGCGGGAUCUGCCUGCACGUGGACCGGGAUCAGGUGUCGGUGGAGUUCUGCUCCAUCUGUGCUCGGCGGGCAGCGGCCUCCUUCAAAAUUUUCUCUUUUAGGUGGUUGCCCUGCCAGGCUCCGUUGUGUAGGGGUUAAAGAACAGUCGUUUCCCACCUCGCAACCUGGUAAGGAUCAAUAUAUUCCCAUAAUGUGGUAUCAGACAGCUUGCUUUGCUUAUCCCAGUCUCUUGUAAUGACUGGUUGAGAAAAUUAUUUUUCUGUCCUUGGCCUACUCUGCCAAAAUGAUUCUAGCUCUGGAUGACAAUUUAUAGCAAAGGUUACAAUCACAUCAGUCUCAUUAGCUGUUUUCCUUUUUUCGUUUUUGAAACAACUACACUGGUUACAUAGUAGCCAAUAUAGCAGCUACAUUUUGAAUUUUAUAAAAAUGCUCAUGCAUUUGAAAUAGAAAUUUCCUAUUUAACCAAGUAUCUGAUGAGAAGAAAAAGGAAAACAUGCUAAUAAGGGGGAUGUGACACUUACUGCCUUUUAUUACAGGGGAUUGGCCCAAAAGUCUAAGUAAAUUGCUUUUUGAAUGAAAAAAAGGAAAGGAAUUGGUGACCUGUUGGUUUAAAAUGCUGUCUAGUAUUAGGGAUGCACAGUACCGUUCAAAAGCCCUUCUCUACUUGCUCUAAUUCACAGUGCAGAGUUUUACCUGAUGAAACAGCCUGAGCACUGGUUAAAUCACUGCAGAGGAAUCCUCACAUAGAGGAGUUGCUCUUGCAUGGACCUCUGAGGAGAAUUAGGUUUGAAGAAUCAGUGCAUCGAAGUAACUCAUUACUUUACCUUCCCAUAAGUAAAUCUCUGUGCCCAGGCACACUGAGAUUCCUGUGUUACUUCAGAGUAGCUUUACAUUUUAAAAAUAUUGCAUGUAUAUGCAUGUGCUUAACUCUACUGUAGAGUUCUUAAUUUAGCCUCUUACAGUAUCCAGAAAUCUAUAACCUGACAUAAUUAUAGCACAGUUUGGAGAUAAGGAAGUACGUAUCUUGAGGCUAAUGAUAGGAAAAACGCUCCAUAAUUGCUCCUGAGAUAGGAGGAGAAAUAGUUUGACAAAAAAAAUAGUGUGUGUUUUCUUGUAGUAGUCAGUGUUUCUCCCUGUCACAAAAGAUGAGUGGGUUCUUUUUUCAGUUGUAUUACAAUGUUUAGGUUGUUUAAAUGUAUGUCAGUUGGGGGAAGAAGGAUUGUGAAAAUGAUAAUAUGUAAAGUGAGGUUUCACAAAGAAUACUUUUCUAAAACAGAUUAUUUUUUUUAAUUAUGCUAUUUAGUGUUUUUGAAGUCUUGUUUCUUAAAGCCUUAAAUUUUGUGUUUAAGGCUAAGUAGAUGAAAGCAUUUCUCUGAGUCAAUUGCUUCAUUGGUGCUAGACCUUGUCACGUGUUCAUCAGUAGAAAAGGAGUUUGAUUUUUCUUUGUGAAACAUCACUGUGUGAUAAAGUAUAUGUGUAUUUAGCAUCCUUGUUUUUCUUUAUGCUAAAGUGGAUUCAGCUGUGUUGGGGCAGAAGAGACGGGACCAGCUGCUGGCCACAUUUCCUGCUUUAUUUUAAAAGUGGUAAAACAGAAAGGGGAAAAUGUUGCUGCUAUCUCUGGGUCAUCAACUGGAAAACACGAUAAAAUGGAUCAGGUUUUGCAGGAGAAAUGUUCUUGCUCUUCUGUCUUUGGAGGUAAGUGGUUCUGUUGGUUUAAGUCUGAUGGCUUCCGGAGCUAUGACAAUUCUCUGUCAUGUAAAAUACUUGGUCCAUGGGAAUCUCCAGUCGGGGUGAUUAAGGUAAGGCCAAGCUGUCUGGGUGCAGACCAGGAUGGGAACACCACGUCACACAGCAACACUGAAUCAAGAAAACUGAAUGAUCUCUACCUAACAACAAAAGGGAGUCUGCAUUGCUGCUGCUCCUGGGUAUAGAUAAAGAAUGUGUCAUGUUCCUGCUGCAAUGACCCAUUUUUAAGGAAAAGGUAGAUAAAGAUGAUGAAACUCCUUCAAUAUAUUUUUAUCAGCAUUACAAUUUAACCACUUUUAAUUAAAGGUCUCAAUGCUGAAUUCUUAAUUCUCAUUAAUAAAUAUUUCCAUGUGCAUCAGGGGAUGCUAGAAUUGUACUGAAGUGACUGUUUGCCAGUAACUGUACAGCUUUUACAGUUAGAGAACCAUUUAGGUUUGGAAAAGACCCCCAGGACCAUCGAGUCCAACCUUUCACUCAUCACCAGCUCCUUGACUAGACCAUGGCACCGAGUGCCACAUCCAGUGGUUUCUUGAACACCUCUAGGGAUGGUGACUCCUGUAACCUCCUGGGCAGUCCAUUCCAAUGCUUAACAAGCCUUUCUGAAACGAAAUUCCUCCUGAUGUUCAACCUGAAACUUCCCCAGCAGCAUUUGAGGCCAUUUCCUCUUGUCCCGUCAUUUGUUCCGUGGGAGAAGAAGCCAACCCCCACCUACAGCAGGUUAAGACCAUACAGCAGAUUGGGAGUAUUGCUUCUGUAGAAGAAUUCCUGAAUUGGCUCUCAGACUGCAGAAUACACUAAGGACACCUCAGGCAGUAGGAGAGCUGCAUUUUAUAUUGCUCUAGAAUAUACAGCCACCAAUAUGAAGACACACCCAACUCAUAAAUGUAUUACUCUGGACCACAGAUCUUGGAUGUAGGCGAGAUAAACCAGUAACGGCACCAGCACUCAAAGGCCUCUCACACACCCCCAUCCUUCAGGAAAAGACUUAAUUUCAAGGCAAAAUGGUUGCAAAACCAAAGGCUGUUUUUUUGAUAUGCUGGGAAGCCUGACAGGACUAUCACUCCUGAUUGCUCUGUGAUAAAAGUGUUCUCUACAGUGUGACCCAUCCAACAGUGUAAAAGAGGUAAUCUUGUGACAAAAGUGUUGUUCCAGCAGAAUGGCAAAAAGGGAAAAAAAGACUCAGAUUUUUAGUAGAUCUCUAGUAAAACCUUGCCUUGAGCUUCCUCCUUUUGGUUGCAGGUUUUUUUUGGGUUUUGUGGUUUGGUUUUGGGUUUUUUUUGGUUUGUUUGUUUUUUGGUUUUAUUUUUUUUAAAUAAAUCUCUAUGGUUUGCAUUAUGAUGGAAAAAAUCUCUUUUUCAAGAAUACUGAUUUUUUACAGCUUCUAAAAGUUGUAGCAUCACCUUGGAACCAAACAUUAAGCAGGAACUAUAAAUGCUUUAUUUACUCCCACUUCCAAACCAACACACCUGUCUGCUAUUCAGGUGUAUACACUAAACUAGGCAUAAUGAAAAGUUUAACCUGCAUUUAAGUUCAAAACUUAAAAAAAAAAAGCCAGUGUAGAGACUGUUUUUGUAUUAAAAAGACACAGCAACACUUCUUUUUCUUGUUUAUUAUGGUUAUUUAUCCAAGGCAAUUGAGAAGUUGCUUUACUUCAUUCAGGUAGCUCUUCAGGAUCCCUGCUACUGUUCAUCUGCAGCAGCAUUUUGAUAUAUAUCCCAUGCUGUUUUGUGGCAAGAUAUAAUCCAGUCAGAGCCUGUACCAGUAUACCCAGACUCAUCUUUCUAAAGACAGGCUGGGAAGUUGUGAGCCAGUAGCGUAACAGAUUUUCUUUCCCUGGCAAGGGAGUUGACAUAUACCUAAACAACAGAAACAGUGGUGGAAACUUUUUUUUUUUUCCAUGCAAGUGUCAAGAUUUAACAUAAAUACUUAUGUAGAUAGUAAUUUUUUCUCACUUCUCCUAUGUUAAAUUCACCUGGUGGCACUGAGGUCUCUGCAUGAAUGCUUUAAAACAUCCUGACUGUGUGCUUGGUCUCACCACCCUUGCCUGCCCCUGCUGUGCUCUGAACUACACAGAACGACAUCUGUCAGGGACUCUGCCUGCUGGGCACUGCCCAGGGUCACUGAGGUCUCCUGGCUGUCCAGCCACCUUCGGUGGUGGCAGGAUGGCAGCCACUGCUGCACACACCCAGGCACAGCCUGGGACACUUGGAAGACUCCUGCCAAACACAAGGGCUUCCCAAUGGAUCACUUUGCAGAUCUCAUUUCACUUUGGCGUAGCUCUUACAAAUUUCAUUUUGUAAUUAGAUGACCUUGAUGUCUAUCUCCUUCCACAUCCUAAAUGUCUACAAGAAGAAAAGUGUGCACAGAUCAAAUAACUACAGAAUCUACACUGCAAGCUGAACAUUUAACCCAUAAAUACAUUUCAGUCAAUACGUUGCAGAUGAGACGUACCUGGCUGCAAGGCUUGCGUUCAAGGGGAUAGCCAGGAAAAUGGGAUAGAAACCACCCACAACAGCACCUACUAAUCCUCCUCUGAUCACAGCACAGACCUCACAGUUCAGCUGACCUGCAUGGCAAACCAUAUUUCACUGCCAAUGUCCACACAUGCUCCACCACAUCAGUUUAUAGGCUGCGUGCAAGAACCUGAAAACAGGCUCUUGACAGAAACUUCCAAGCUG
Passer domesticus (house sparrow) is the source of this 5377-nucleotide RNA transcript. It is a transcript of the gene named CREB/ATF bZIP transcription factor, with no coding region annotated. The transcript has 4 exons. The record is from RefSeq and is a predicted model, not a curated record. Lineage: Eukaryota; Metazoa; Chordata; Aves; Passeriformes; Passeridae.